GACAACCUGGUUGAUCCUGCCAGUAGUCAUAUGCUUGUCUCAAAGAUUAAGCCAUGCAUGUCUCAGUACAAGCCAAACUAAGGUGAAACCGCGAAAGGCUCAUUAAAUCAGUUAUGGUUCCUUAGAUCGUACCAACAUUUACUUGGAUAACUGUGGUAAUUCUAGAGCUAAUACAUGCAAACAGAGCUUCGACCGGAGACGGAAGAGGCGCUUUUAUUAGAUCAAAACCAAUCGGCGGCGGGUUCGCUUGCGGGCUCGUCGUCGUUUUCACUGACGAAUCUGAAUAACUUUCUGCUGAUCGCACGGUCUCGCACCGGCGACGCAUCUUUCAAAUGUCUGCCUUAUCAACUGUCGAUGGUAGGUUCUGUGCCUACCAUGGUUGUAACGGGUAACGGGGAAUCAGGGUUCGAUUCCGGAGAGGGAGCCUGAGAAACGGCUACCACAUCCAAGGAAGGCAGCAGGCGCGCAAAUUACCCACUCCCGGCACGGGGAGGUAGUGACGAAAAAUAACGAUACGGGACUCAUCCGAGGCCCCGUAAUCGGAAUGAGAACAAUUUAAAUCCUUUAACGAGGAUCAAUUGGAGGGCAAGUCUGGUGCCAGCAGCCGCGGUAAUUCCAGCUCCAAUAGCGUAUAUUAAAGUUGUUGCGGUUAAAAAGCUCGUAGUCGAAUCUGUGUCCCGCGCCGCCGGUUCGUCGCUCGCGGCGUUUAACUGGCGUGUCCGCGGGACGUCCUGCCGGUGGGCUUAGCUUUUUCAUUAAGGCGGCCCAAUCUUAAUCCCGCCGCGGUGCUCUUCACCGAGUGUCGAGGCGGGCCGGCACGUUUACUUUGAACAAAUUAGAGUGCUUAAAGCAGGCUAAAACUUCGCCUGAAUACUUCGUGCAUGGAAUAAUGGAAUAGGACCUCGGUUCUAUUUUGUUGGUUUUCGGAACCCCGAGGUAAUGAUUAAUAGGAACGGAUGGGGGCAUUCGUAUUGCGACGUUAGAGGUGAAAUUCUUGGAUCGUCGCAAGACGGACAGAAGCGAAAGCAUUUGCCAAAAACGCUUUCAUCGAUCAAGAACGAAAGUUAGAGGUUCGAAGGCGAUCAGAUACCGCCCUAGUUCUAACCAUAAACUAUGCCAGCUAGCGAUCCGCCGAAGUUACUUCUAUGACUCGGCGGGCAGCUUCCGGGAAACCAAAGCUUUNGGGUUCCGGGGGAAGUAUGGUUGCAAAGCUGAAACUUAAAGGAAUUGACGGAAGGGCACCACCAGGAGUGGAGCCUGCGGCUUAAUUUGACUCAACACGGGAAACCUCACCAGGCCCGGACACCGGAAGGAUUGACAGAUUGAGAGCUCUUUCUUGAUUCGGUGGGUGGUGGUGCAUGGCCGUUCUUAGUUGGUGGAGCGAUUUGUCUGGUUAAUUCCGAUAACGAACGAGA
This 1415-nucleotide ribosomal RNA is filed under the name Microtrichalus sp. BM0134. Its description in RNAcentral is "SSU rRNA". It matches the Rfam family "Eukaryotic small subunit ribosomal RNA", at positions 1 to 1340 of the family's 1831-position model. Lineage: Eukaryota; Metazoa; Arthropoda; Insecta; Coleoptera; Lycidae. The record is from RNAcentral.